Molecule: ribosomal RNA, 253 nt
Filed under: uncultured bacterium
Lineage: Bacteria
Description: partial 16S ribosomal RNA
Rfam family: Bacterial small subunit ribosomal RNA
Source: RNAcentral
UACGUAGGGGGCAAGCGUUAUCCGGAUUUACUGGGUGUAAAGGGGGCGCAGACGGCGAUGCAAGCCAGGAGUGAAAGCCCGGGGCCCAACCCCGGGACUGCUCUGGAAACUGUACGGCUAGAGUACGGGAGGGGCAGGCGGAAUUCCUAGUGUAGCGGUGAAAUGCGUAGAUAUUAGGAGGAACACCGGCGGCGAAGGCGGCCUGCUGGACCGAAACUGACGUUGAGGCUCGAAAGCGUGGGGAGCAAAUAGG